This 452-nucleotide ribosomal RNA is filed under the name uncultured marine bacterium. RNAcentral's name for it is "bacterial SSU rRNA". It matches the Rfam family "Bacterial small subunit ribosomal RNA", at positions 360 to 804 of the family's 1533-position model. The record is from RNAcentral.
AAUAUUCCACAAUUCGCGAAAGCGUGAUCCAGCCAUUCUGCGGCGUGUGAAGGAGAGCCCUCGGGGGAUAAAGCACGUUCAGGUGUGAGGAAAGGGAUGUAGUUAAUAACUGCAUCCGUGACGUUGCAACAGAAGAAGCACAGGCUACCUCCGUGCCAGCAGCGGCAGCAAUAGGGAGGGUGCGAGCGUUAAUCGGAAUUUCGGGGCGUAAAGCGUGAGAGCGCGGAUAGUUAAGCGAGAUGUUAAAGCCCCGGGCUCAACUUGGGAACUGCAUUUCGAACUGGCAGUCUAGAGUUUUGUAGAGGGUGGUGGAAUUUCCAGUGUAGCGGUGAAAUGCGUAGAGAAAGAAAGGAACAUCAGUGGCGAAGGCGGCCACCUGGACAAAAACUGACGCUGAGGCACGAAAGCGUGGGGAGCAAACAGGAUUAGAUACCCUGGUAGUCCACGCCGUA